RNAcentral lists this long non-coding RNA (878 nucleotides) under Homo sapiens (human). Its description in RNAcentral is "LNC_000356". Lineage: Eukaryota; Metazoa; Chordata; Mammalia; Primates; Hominidae. The record is from RNAcentral.
CAUACAACACCCGGCAGGAAAAAACAAAAACAGCAAGUUUACAUGAUCCCUGUAACAGCCAUGGUCUCAAACUCAGAUGCUUCCUCCAUCUGCCAAGUGUGUUCUGGAUACAGAGCACAUCGUGGCUUCUGGGGUCACACUCAGCUUAGGCUGUGGGUCCACAGAGCACUCAUCUGGCUGGGCUAUGGUGGUGGUGGCUCUACUCAAGAAGCAAAGCAGUUACCAGCACAUUCAAACAGUGUAUUGAACAUCUUUUAAAUAUCAAAGUGAGAAACAAGAAGGCAACAUAAUAAUGUUAUCAGAAAGAUGUUAGGAAGUAAGGACAGCUGUGUAAAGCUUGAGGCUGAAAAGUAGCUUGCCAGCUUCAUUUCUUUGGUUUCUUGGGUAGUGGGCGCCGGAACAGCAAGAUGUGAGGUUCUGGUUCAUGGAUCAUAUAAUGGACCCAUCCCUGACUCUGCUGAACGCCAAGAUUCCUCCAUUCAGAUUCAGACAUCAGAUGGGUUUUAGGGACCAGCUUGGCUAUGUCCUUGGGCAGCAUGACAUGUCUGUAACAGAAACGGGGAAGUGGGGAAUUUAUGUUAGUACCAGAUACAGUCUCUUAGACAAAUGCCUGUUUACAAGGCCAAGAAAGGAAAGAAAAACUGGUUUUUGAUGUCAGAGUUUAUAUAAUUUUAUUGUGGGGUAGCAGCAGCUAGAAAUACAGGCUAUGUUAUAUAAAUUCCGAGAGUAUAUUAAAAAUACAAAUUAGUGAAUAAUUCCAGUGAAUGAGCACUUAAGUUCAAGGCACAUUUUCUCCGCCUUCAUGGACCUUAUAGUCUUCUAGUUGAUUAUCUACAACAUAAUGGGAGCCCCACGGAGCACACAGUGUUAAUAAUUAG